Mesocricetus auratus (golden hamster) is the source of this 1076-nucleotide long non-coding RNA. RefSeq lists it as uncharacterized. Lineage: Eukaryota; Metazoa; Chordata; Mammalia; Rodentia; Cricetidae. The transcript is spliced from 3 exons. The record is from RefSeq and is a predicted model, not a curated record.
AACAAGUAUAACUGAGGGUGGGCAGGGAACUGGAGGGAGCAGUGGAUGCUGCUCUUAAGGAAGUAAAAGGCAAUUCCUAACAUUUAGUGCAAUGUUUGACAUAAAGCCAGCAGCACCAGAUGAUGCAUGAAGAGGGAAGAUUUCCAGACUUGGAGGAAGCUCGGACGCAGACUGGGAAAGGCCUGAUAUGCUGCAGUUCUGGGAGCUCCUGGGUGAUGCCUGCUGGGACCACACUUCAACAGCAAGUAAUUCUCGCAAGGAUGUGGUCUUCAAACCAGCAGCUUCAGUGUUGCCAGAGAACCUGUUAGAAUACCUGAGGAUUUUUGCAUUCAUUGCCUUACCUUCUCUCCCUGACCCAGUGUUCCAGAAUAGACACAGUGGUCUGUGUUUUCAUGAGCCUCCAGGUAAGGAUGCUGAUGCUCUCACUGUUUGACAUGGACUAAAGGAGACAACUGAAAAGAAUCUGACCCCUGGAGUGGCAUUCUGGAUUUGCUGUGUGAUGGUUGUGUGGCCUUGACCAGUCACUUAACCUCUCUUAGCCUAGCAUGGAAGGCCCAUAAGUAUUGGACAUUUCUAAACCUAAAGCGUGACUGCCAAGACCCCAGCUGAAAUCAGGCCAUAUUUCACAUCCUUGAAUCCCAGCAGCACACUUUCUCUGUUGCUUCUGUAACAUGAAACCCAUUAUCAGUGUCUUCUCAGAAGAUGCUUGCAUGGCAGUGGUGAAGUGUCACAUGCAUCACUAACACAGCUUUGGAAAGCCCAACCAACUAUUACUAAGCAAAAUGUCAAUUGUUAUGAGAAAAGCAUUCAAGUCCCCUUACUAACUAGGCAUUUUCCAUUGAGUAGAUACCUGAUCACAACUGCUUGAGAAGGACCUAGAGUAUUUGAUUAUAGCACUAUCAGUGGGUCAAAUGAAGAAAACAGCUGUUGAACUGGAUGAUUCAUAUCAGUGCUCAAAUACCUUUGUGUGAAUAGAUCCUUCCAUGGAUUAAAAAAGCUCACUUUGUGUGGGAAGUACCCUUGAAUGAAUUGUUACAAGAGACCAGUAGCACAGACACUGAGAUUGACAAUUAAUA